RNAcentral lists this ribosomal RNA (491 nucleotides) under uncultured Eubacteriales bacterium. RNAcentral describes it as "bacterial SSU rRNA". It matches the Rfam family "Bacterial small subunit ribosomal RNA", at positions 10 to 507 of the family's 1533-position model. Lineage: Bacteria; Bacillati; Bacillota; Clostridia; Eubacteriales. The record is from RNAcentral.
AGUUUGAUCCUGGCUCAGGAUAAAACGCUGGCGGCGCACAUAAGACAUGCAAGUCGAACGGACUUAACUCAUUCUUUUAGAUUGAGAGCGGUUAGUGGCGGACUGGUGAGUAACACGUAAGCAACCUGCCUAUCAGAGGGGAAUAACAGUGAGAAAUCAUUGCUAAUACCGCAUAUGCUCACAGUAUCACAUGAUACAGUGAGGAAAGGAGUAAUCCGCUGAUAGAUGGGCUUGCGUCUGAUUAGUUAGUUGGUGGGGUAACGGCCUACCAAGACUACGAUCAGUAGCCGGACUGAGAGGUUGAACGGCCACAUUGGGACUGAGAUACGGCCCAGACUCCUACGGGAGGCAGCAGUCGGGAAUAUUGCGCAAUGGAGGAAACUCUGACGCAGUGACGCCGCGUAUAGGAAGAAGGUUUUCGGAUUGUAAACUAUUGUCAUUAGGGAAGAUAAAAGACUGUACCUAAGGAGGAAGCCCCGGCUAACUAUGUG